RNAcentral lists this ribosomal RNA (216 nucleotides) under Glomeromycotina sp. Its description in RNAcentral is "partial small subunit ribosomal RNA". The stretch from base 40 to 216 matches the Rfam family "Eukaryotic small subunit ribosomal RNA", at positions 686 to 864 of the family's 1831-position model. Lineage: Eukaryota; Fungi; Glomeromycota. The record is from RNAcentral.
GGGUCAGUAGGUUGGUCGUGCCACCGGUACGUACUGGUCUCACUAAUUCCUCCUUCCUGAAGAACCAUAAUGCCAUUAAUUUGGUGUUGCGGGGAAACAGGACUGUUACUUUGAAAAAAUUAGAGUGUUUAAAGCAAGCUAACGCUUGAAUACAUUAGCAUGGAAUAAUGAAAUAGGACGAUCGAUCCUAUUUUGUUGGUUUCUAGGAUUGACGUA